AUACGGAGGAUCCGAGCGUUAUACGGAUUUAUUGGGUUUAAAGGGUGCGCAGGCGGCCAUUUAAGUCAGCGGUUAAAUCGUGGGGCUCAACCCCAUUCUGCCGUUGAUACUGGGUGGCUUGAUUGCGGUCGAGGUUGGCGGAAUUCGUUGUGUAGCGGUGAAAUGCAUAGAUAUGACGAAGAACACCGAGUGCGUAGGCAGCUGAGCAGAUCGCAAAUGACGCUCAUGCACGAAAGUGCGGGGAUCGAAAAGGAUUAAAUACCAUUGUAGUCCGCACAGUAAACGAUGAAUACUUGAUUUCGGCGAUAUAAUGUCGGAGGCAAAGCGAAAGCGAUAAGUAUUCCACCUGGGGAGUACUCCGCCAACGUUGCAACUCAAAUGAAUUGGCGGGG
RNAcentral lists this ribosomal RNA (392 nucleotides) under uncultured bacterium. RNAcentral's name for it is "partial 16S ribosomal RNA". It matches the Rfam family "Bacterial small subunit ribosomal RNA", at positions 523 to 918 of the family's 1533-position model. The record is from RNAcentral.